UACGUAGGGGGCAAGCGUUGUCCGGAAUUAUUGGGCGCAAAGCGCGCGCAGGCGGUUCUUUAAGUCUGGUGUCUAAGUGCGGGGCUCAACCCCGUGAUGCACUGGAAACUGGGGAACUUGAGUGCAGAAGAGGAGAGCGGAAUUCCACGUGUAGCGGUGAAAUGCGUAGAGAUGUGGAGGAACACCAGUGGCGAAGGCGGCUCUCUGGACUGUAACUGACGCUGAGGCGCGAAAGCGUGGGGAGC
This 245-nucleotide ribosomal RNA is filed under the name uncultured Cohnella sp. Its description in RNAcentral is "partial 16S ribosomal RNA". It matches the Rfam family "Bacterial small subunit ribosomal RNA", at positions 524 to 769 of the family's 1533-position model. Lineage: Bacteria; Bacillati; Bacillota; Bacilli; Caryophanales; Paenibacillaceae. The record is from RNAcentral.